UACAGAGGUCUCAAGCGUUGUUCGGAUUCAUUGGGCGUAAAGGGUUCGUAGGCGGCGCGGUAAGUCGGGUGUGAAAUUUCGGAGCUUAACUCCGAAACUGCAUUCGAUACUGCGGUGCUUGAGGACUGGAGAGGAGACUGGAAUUCAUGGUGUAGCAGUGAAAUGCGUAGAGAUCAUGAGGAAGACCAGUGGCGAAGGCGGGUCUCUGGACAGUUCCUGACACUGAGGCACGAAGGCCAGGGGAGCAAACGGG
RNAcentral lists this ribosomal RNA (253 nucleotides) under uncultured bacterium. Its description in RNAcentral is "partial 16S ribosomal RNA". It matches the Rfam family "Bacterial small subunit ribosomal RNA", at positions 524 to 776 of the family's 1533-position model. The record is from RNAcentral.